GAAUAAGUGGACUCACUGCAAUUUCAGAAAAUUUGUGCUACUGCACCAUUACUCAGGAAACAUUUCUACAAGGAAAAGGUUUUUCUCUCCGAUGGGCUACUUGUUGCUCCUCUGUGCUUCAGGAAAGUAACAAGUAACAGGGACAAAGGUUACCUAUACCUCAAGAACUGACGUAACAAGGGACACUUCUACCUAUUUUGAGAUUGGUAUUAGGCAGACAAGAUGAUUUUCUAAUAAACCCGUCUCGGAAACAAUACUGGAUCAGGUGGAUGACA
RNAcentral lists this long non-coding RNA (275 nucleotides) under Panthera leo (lion). RNAcentral's name for it is "lncRNA (ENSPLOG00000012183.1)". Lineage: Eukaryota; Metazoa; Chordata; Mammalia; Carnivora; Felidae. The record is from RNAcentral.